This is a long non-coding RNA of Phascolarctos cinereus (koala), 1231 nucleotides long. RefSeq lists it as uncharacterized. Lineage: Eukaryota; Metazoa; Chordata; Mammalia; Diprotodontia; Phascolarctidae. The record is from RefSeq and is a predicted model, not a curated record.
CCUGGGGCCAAAGUCUCUGUCUUGGGAACUAAACCCGGGGCCACAGUCUCUGUCUCGGGAACUUUUACUGUGCCCAUCCUGGUGAAGGGAGAGCUUGAAGAUGUCGCCUCCUCCCGAGGACUAUUUUUCUGGUUUUCUCAAUGUGCCCCUAGCUCCAACCUAAGCCUGGACAGUCAGAUUACCCGCCUGAACAGGCAGAGGGAAAGGCCUGGCGAUGCUGAAAGAACCAGAAAAACUGCCCUGAGCAGAAGGAAUCUGAAUGUUUGUCUUCCUAAGAGUCAUCAAAGACCAGUGGCAAGACAAAAGUCAAGAUGACUGGCGAUGGCCAAGAUACAGUGGAUGACCUUGGCAUCUCUGAUGUCUAACCAAAUUCUAAGUGCUCUGCAGCACUUACUUCGGCUGCCUUCAUGGACAUUGGAACAAAUUACUAUCUGCCCAUUCCACUGGGGGAGUCUUCACUUGCUUGGGAUAGACAUCCCCCUAACUCACCAAUGGAUUUGAGACCUGUCAGUCACCCUCUACGUGGUUUAGCCCAUCUGUCAUGACGAUUUUACUGGGGUGUGGCUGCUGCACAUGCUCCAGCUCUUGGAGCCACAGGUAAAAGUUAGAUGAAGGUGGACACCGAAGGUGGAUAAGCAACCCUGAAAAGGCUCGGCAGCCUUCAUCCCAGAGGUGCUUGUCCUCCCUGAAUAUCCCAUACAACCCUAUGUAUAUAUACAUGACUAUGUAUGACAUAUGUGUAUGUACAUAUACAUGUGCAUUUUAUGUACAGCACUUUGGUAAGUUAAAAGUGCCAUGUAAAUGUUAGUUACCAUCAUUAUUUUGACACGUGAGGAAACUCAAGCUAAGAGAGGUUAAGUGACAUGGUCAUGAGGCAGUAAAUGGCAGAGCUAAGACUCAAACCCCAGUCCUCUAGUUCUAAAUUCAACAAUCACCAUGUUAGGCCUAGAGAACUUCUAGUUGCCUGAUAUCAUAGGAAUGUCCAGUGUGCUCCAGUUUUGUCCUUGGCUUAGUCCACAAAAUGAUCCAGACCAUAUCAAGAUUUUCUUUGACUUCUCUGGAUAGUCGUCCUAACAAUCCAGUUAUUCUACAUGCAUUUAUGUGUAUGGGGAUGACUGUAGAAAUAGUCUUAAAAUAGCAAAUGGACAACAUGAUAACAUUAAGACUCUUAAGUUCAAUGAAUGAACCUUAGACUAUAUCUACUACACAUUAUAGGUAAAAAUGAUCCAGA